This is a long non-coding RNA of Camellia sinensis, 1719 nucleotides long. RefSeq lists it as uncharacterized. NCBI's taxonomy places the organism in Eukaryota, Viridiplantae, Streptophyta, Magnoliopsida, Ericales, Theaceae. The record is from RefSeq and is a predicted model, not a curated record.
CCACAAGGCACAAACAGGAGAGGUAAGAGGGGAAGGGAGCAUGGUUCCCUCCUCUUUCCACCCACUUUUGAGGGUAACGCAUAUGGUAAACUCAAACAGAAAGUUCCUUGCCCCUCUUUUCCUUUCCCCUCAGCUUUCCUUAUAAACCCUCCUCCCUUUCCUCUUUCCUUCCAUCCAAAUAAUGAAAUCUUUCAUUUCCCUCACUCUUCCCUCCUACCAGAUGGACCUUAAAGUGAAUACUCAAACCUUUAGCACAUGCAACAUUAGGGACAUUUAGAUAGAAAUUGCAACUUUUUUUCCUUUUUUCUUUUUGGGUACUGUUAGACAUUAUUAAAUGUAAAUUCUAGAUGUGAUGUACUAGACAUACAUUUCUAUAAGCCGAUUUUUCUUCUCUUAACUGAGUACCAAGUAAGCUCUCUCUCUCCCUUGUGCUGGUGCUGGUGGUUGGGAGGACUAUAUUUUUAUUUUAUUUAAUGAAGCGGUAUUCAAUAUCGUAUCAUGUGGUAUUAGACACAUCAAUAGUGAGCUUAUAGUUAUAGCCUUAUACGUAGACCCAGUACUAAAUGAACACUGCAAAUGAGUGAAGAUGAGCAGUGGUUAAAGCACAAUGAUGUACAAAAGAAAAGUAUAAUUAACAAUUGAACUUUUAUCUAAUUAUGAGUUAAAUAGUAUAACAAACUCAUGCCUUUCACUUUACAUGAAAAUAACAGUACACAGGAAGCACCAAAAAAACAUUAGAGGUAAAGCAUUUAAAAAUUCAAAAGUAGCAAAUUGUCAUCAUACUCAUUAGUACAGUACAUCAACUUAUAAUAUUCUUACAGUAUAAAAAAAAAUCUGAGUCACCAAAGGAAAACAGUAACUGAAAAAUAUAAGGACAACAAACAGAAGUGCCCCAUUGUGAAAAUCUCCAUAACAUACGUAGCAAUUUUCAAUGAAGGCAUUAAAGCCUCUAAUUGAGUACACUCAUAGCAAUAUUGAUGCUUAUUUCCAGAUGAUCCAACAAGAGAAGUAGCAUUGUCAGUUGUCAAGGAGUCUACAUUCGCGAAAAGAAGGAUUCAAUUAAAAGAGAACAAGAAGCAGCAGAAAAUGAAGUAACUUAUCAUUAAUUAGGAAACAGGAAUCACCCACCAUUUGAUUCCAGUGACAGGGCACAAUGUCAUAAUGUUCAAGAUCUGACAUGUCUUUUGCAGAACUAGGCUGAUUGAAGAUUUAACUUUAAUUUUCUGUGGUCUUUGUGCAGGACCAGAUAGAGGAGUCCUAAACAUCUUUCAAGCUGACCAGUCAUUAUCUUCACCCGGAGGAGCUCCUCUCCAUCAGAUGCAGUAGUAUUAUAGGCGGCUUUGCGUCCCUGAUAACUUUUCCAGAAAAUGGAAUGCUGUUGUUCAUUGCUUAACUUUGGAGGCAAAACGAACUUCUGUAGUGGAGAUGGAUGAACUCGUGUAACAAGUUGAAUUGUACAGGACUAGUUGGCACUUGUUACAUUUUUUCAAGGAUUAUAUAUUUUUGGAUAGAUGUGUAUGAAAAAUAUUUGGGUAGACUAGUAAUUAUAUUUUUAGAUAGAUGCGCAUGGAUAAAAAUUUAAAACAUAAUAACAAGUAUUUGUUAUGUUUUAAAUUUUUAUGCUAGAUGGAUAUGAAUCGGAAUUUUAAUUGGAGAAAUAUGUAAUUUUGGAAUUAUUUGUGGAUGAAAAUUUAUAAUAAUUGCCGACUUUUAUUAAAC